AGUGAACGCUGGCGGUAGGCCUAACACAUGCAAGUCGAACGGCAGCACAGUAAGAGCUUGCUCUUACGGGUGGCGAGUGGCGGACGGGUGAGGAAUACAUCGGAAUCUACUUUUUCGUGGGGGAUAACGUAGGGAAACUUACGCUAAUACCGCAUACGACCUACGGGUGAAAGCAGGGGAUCUUCGGACCUUGCGCGAUUGAAUGAGCCGAUGUCGGAUUAGCUAGUUGGCGGGGUAAAGGCCCACCAAGGCGACGAUCCGUAGCUGGUCUGAGAGGAUGAUCAGCCCCACUGGAACUGAGACACGGUCCAGACUCCUACGGGAGGCAGCAGUCGGGAAUAUUGGACAAUGGGCGCAAGCCUGAUCCAGCCAUACCGCGUCGGUGAAGAAGGCCUUCGGGUUGUAAAGCCCUUUUGUUGGGAAAGAAAAGCAGCAGGUUAAUACCCCGCUGUUCUGACGGUACCCAAAGAAUAAGCACCGGCUAACUUCGUG
Molecule: ribosomal RNA, 492 nt
Filed under: uncultured bacterium
Lineage: Bacteria
Description: partial 16S ribosomal RNA
Rfam family: Bacterial small subunit ribosomal RNA
Source: RNAcentral